CCUACGGGUGGCAGCAGUGAGGAAUAUUGGUCAAUGGGCGGGAGCCUGAACCAGCCAAGCCGCGUGAGGGAAGAAGGUACAGCGUAUCGUAAACCUCUUUUGUCAGGGAACAAAGGCGGGGACUAGUCCCCGGAUGAGGGUACCUGAAGAAAAAGCAUCGGCUAAUUCCGUGCCAGCAGCCGCGGUAAUACGGAGGAUGCGAGCGUUAUCCGGAUUUAUUGGGUUUAAAGGGAGCGUAGGCGGUUCCAUAAGUCAGCGGUAAAAUCGUGCGGCUCAACCGUACCGUGCCGUUGAAACUGUGGGACUUGAGUAUGCGCAGGGUAGAUGGAAUGCGUGGUGUAGCGGUGAAAUGCUUAGAUAUCACGCAGAACUCCGAUCGCGAAGGCAGUGUACCGGAGCAAGACUGACGCUGAGGCUCGAAAGUGCGGGUAUCGAACAGGAUUAGAUACCCUUGUAGUC
Molecule: ribosomal RNA, 459 nt
Filed under: uncultured bacterium
Lineage: Bacteria
Description: partial 16S ribosomal RNA
Rfam family: Bacterial small subunit ribosomal RNA
Source: RNAcentral